GUCCUCCAGAUGUUUUGGGACUACACCUCCCAUCACCCCUGACCACUGGUAAUGUUAGCUAGGGAUGGUGGGAGUUGUAGUCCCAAAACAUCUGGAGGGC
This 100-nucleotide microRNA precursor is filed under the name Podarcis lilfordi (Lilford's wall lizard). The record is from RNAcentral. Lineage: Eukaryota; Metazoa; Chordata; Lepidosauria; Squamata; Lacertidae.